CCCCGCCCAUAAAAAAAAAACCCCAGACUCUCAACUCCCAAUACCCUCACUCUCUCCCCUCUACUGCUCUCUAAAAAAAAAAAAAAAAAACAGAAAUGGAAGAAGAAGAAGACGACCAACAAAACAUCCUAGAUCUGGUCAAAGAAUUAGUCAAUCGCUUACUCUCUCAAAACCCUCAAAACCCUAGACCCCCAAUUUCUAACCCUAACCCUAACUCUCCUGAUUUCCAAAAUUCUCUUCGCUACGCAAUCCGCAUUCUCUCCAGCAGAUUAACCCCAUCGAUUGCCCCUGAUGCCGCCGCAAUUGCUGAAUCAAUCAAGCGUGGUCUUGCCACUCAAGGUAAAUCCUCCCAAGCUCUCACUCUCGCUGAGUUAUACAACAAAUUUGCAUCGAAAACGGGACCGGGAAGUAUUAAUAACAAAUGGGCAGUUCUUUAUUUGCUUAAAAUCAUUUCCGAAGAUACAAAAAUUGCACAAAAUGCUCCAAAUUCCACGCUUUUGUUACCUAAUUUGGGGUUAAAUGAGCUUGAUUUGAGCAAUGAAUCGCGGAUUUCCCGUGAUUUUAAGAGAAGGGAAAAGGGUUAUGAUAAUGGGGUUUUGUUGGUUAGUAAAGAUCCGGAGAAUUUGCUUGAAAUCGCAUUUAGAGAGUUCGUUAAUCUGGUGAAAGAGGAAAAUGAGGUGUCCGAAGAAGUUUUAGUGAGAGAUGUGUUAUAUGUUUGUCAAGGGAUUGAUGGGCAAUAUGUGAAGUUUGAUGAAAAUGUUGAUGGGUAUGUUUUAUCAGAUUCAAUCAAGGUUCCAAGAGGUACAAGGGUUAUGGUUAGGAAGUUGUGUGAGUUGGGGUGGUUGUUUAGGAAAGUUAAAGGGUAUAUUUCAGAGAGUAUGGAUCGGUUUCCAGCUGAAGAUGUGGGAACUGUAGGGCAGGCAUUUUGUGCUGCGUUACAGGACGAGCUUUCAGAUUAUUAUAAGUUGUUGGCUGUGCUUGAAGCGCAGGCAAUGAAUCCAAUUCCGUUGGUUUCAAAGUCAACUAGUUCGAGUAAUUAUUUGUCAUUGAGGAGGUUGUCAGUUUGGUUUGCUGAGCCAACAGUGAAAAUGAGGUUAAUGGCUGUUUUGGUUGAUAAAUGCAGAGUCUUGAGGGGUGGGGCAAUGGCUGGGGCUAUACAUUUGCAUGCCCAGCAUGGCGAUCCAUUGGUGCAUGAGUUCAUGAGGAGUUUACUGCAGCAUGUUUGUUCGCCACUUUUUGAAAUGGUUAGGAGUUGGGUUUUGGAAGGGGAGUUGGAGGAUAUUUUUGCUGAGUUCUUUGUUGUGGGUCAACCAGUGAAAGCUGAAUCACUUUGGAGAGAAGGUUACAGGCUCCAUGCUGGAAUGCUUCCUUCAUUCAUUUCACAACCCCUUGCUCAGCGCAUUUUAAGGACUGGGAAGUCAAUAAAUUUCCUUCGUGUCUGUUGUGAUGAUCGUGGUUGGGCUGAUACUGCAACAGAGGCUGCUGCUGCUGCUGGGACCACAACUAGAAGAGGGAGUCUUGGAUAUGGUGAAACUGAUGCGCUUGAAACUCUGGUUGUUGAAGCAGCAAAGAGAAUUGACAAGCAUCUGUUGGAUGUUAUCUACACGAGGUAUAAAUUCAAAGAACACUGCCUUGCAAUCAAGCGAUAUUUACUGCUGGGGCAAGGUGAUUUUGUCCAGUACUUAAUGGAUAUUGUUGGGCAGGAACUUUCUGAGCCUGCUAAUACAAUUAGUUCAUUCCAGUUGGCAGGGUUGCUGGAAAGUGCAAUUCGAUCAUCCAAUGCUCAGUAUGAUGAUCCUGACAUAUUAGAUAGGUUGAGGGUGAAGAUGUUGCCGCAUGGUACUGGAGAUAGAGGUUGGGAUGUAUUCUCGUUGGAAUAUGAUGCCAGAGUACCAUUAGACACAGUGUUUACAGAAUCUGUUAUGGCAAGGUAUUUAAGAAUUUUUAAUUUCCUGUGGAAGCUGAGGCGAGUGGAGCAUGCACUUAUUGGUGCGUGGAAGACAAUGAAACCUAAUUGUAUUACUUCUCAUUCUUUCACCAAGCUGCAGGAUGCAGUUAAGUUGCAGUUACUCUCAACACUGAGACAAUGCCAGGUCCUUUGGAAUCAGAUGAAUCAUUUUGUUACAAACUUGCAAUAUUAUAUCAUGUUUGAAGUUCUGGAGGUUUCAUGGUCUAACUUCUCAAAUGAAAUGGAAGUGGCAAAGGAUCUUGAUGAUCUACUUGCAGCACAUGAUAAGUACCUCCACUCAAUUGUAGAGAAAUCUCUUCUUGGUGAACGAUCUCAAUCCCUUUACAAGUCACUAUUUGUCUUGUUUGACCUUAUACUGCAUUUCAGAAGUCAUGCAGAUCGAUUGUGUGAAGGAAUUUACGAGUUACAAGCAAGAACCAGGGCAUCCUCUUUAUCCUCUCAAGACAAGACAAAAUCACGAAGGCAUACAAGAGAUAAUCCGUCAGAGCCUGGAUCAUGGUUUAGUGAUGGCAGGAAGGCCCUAGAACAACGUGCUGGUGAAUUUCUUCAAAAUAUGGGGCGGGAACUGGAAGAAAUAUCAAAGGAAUAUACAGUGUUGCUCGAAGGUUUCUUGUCUCAGUUGCCUGUGCAACAACAUGUUGAUUUGAAAUUCCUCUUCUUUCGGCUUGACUUCACUGAAUUUUAUAGUAGGUUCCGUCCUGGCACAUAGCAAAGCUGUUAAUACACGUGAGUUUACUCCAAUUUGCAACUCAAGGCAUGAACAGAGUGCAGUUAUUUGCUGGACCUUAAGUGAAGAAUUAUGCAAUGUCUUGCUGAUGCCAGGAUUGACCUUUAUAUUUCACUGCUUGAUUUUAGAUUGUGCUCCUUUCUAAGGGUUUACGUGAAAGUUUGCGAUCAUGUCAGAGUGGUUGCUGCAAUAAACAUAUCAUAAUUCCUUGUGUUGCUGGCAAGCUGUCCUUGCAAUGAAAACUGUGGUCUUAUCACAAGGGAUUGUUAACGGGCCCAUGCUAUCUCAAUAACCUUCUUGCUGGCACACGAAUGAGCAAGACUGUUCAUUAAAUUAUAUCAUCAUAAAGAUUUGGCCUUGUAUGAUUAUUACCUAUUGGGAAAAGGCUCUUGUGCAUACAACAUAGAUGGCUUGUGUUGCUGGAGAAUUAGAAUGAGGUUAAAGCAAAUACCCAGUUGAAGUCUUGAAGAAAGAUCAAAGUGACAUCAUAGAGACAAAGGAAGCACCUCAUGCAUGCUUGACAGGGUGCCUCCCAUAAGCCAAAGAGUGGAAUGGUGUAUUAUUCUUUCUAGGACUGGUAGCACUUUGGUGAGAGUGUCCCUUAGCCCUUGGAAUAUUUAUUGAGUGUUUGCUUGUCUAGCUGAAUAUGUUAGCUUAAAUGUGUAAGCCAGUAGCGCCGGUUUCAUUUUUGUCUACCCAGUUUGACAAGUGAUAUUGCUAUGUUAUAAAGUUAUAGAGAAGCAUAAGAUCAGCAUGAGGUUUAAAAUUGAAAAA
RNA transcript from Populus trichocarpa (black cottonwood), 3470 nucleotides. It is a transcript of the gene named gamma-tubulin complex component 3, with no coding region annotated. The transcript has 4 exons. Lineage: Eukaryota; Viridiplantae; Streptophyta; Magnoliopsida; Malpighiales; Salicaceae. The record is from RefSeq and is a predicted model, not a curated record.